Molecule: transfer RNA, 73 nt
Filed under: Allobosea sp. RAC05
Lineage: Bacteria; Pseudomonadati; Pseudomonadota; Alphaproteobacteria; Hyphomicrobiales; Alloboseaceae
Description: Bosea sp. RAC05 tRNA
Rfam family: tRNA
About the family: Transfer RNA (tRNA) molecules are approximately 80 nucleotides in length. Their secondary structure includes four short double-helical elements and three loops (D, anti-codon, and T loops).
Source: Rfam by way of RNAcentral
GCCGCUGUAGCUUAGAGGGUCUGAGCGCCGGGCUGAAAAUCUGGAGGUGAUCGUUCGAUCCGAUCCGGCGGCA